CAGUCGCCGCGGUAAUACGGAGGGUGCAAGCGUUAAUCGGAAUUACUGGGCGUAAAGCGUGCGUAGGCGGUUUGUUAAGUCUGCUGUGAAAUCCCCGGGCUCAACCUGGGAAUGGCAGUGGGUACUGGCAAGCUAGAGUGUGUCAGAGGAUGGUGGAAUUCCCGGUGUAGCGGUGAAAUGCGUAGAGAUCGGGAGGAACAUCAGUGGCGAAGGCGGCCAUCUGGGACAACACUGACGCUGAGGCACGAAAGCGUGGGGAGCAAACAGGAUUAGAUACCCGCGUAGUCCCUGUCUCUUAUAC
This 301-nucleotide ribosomal RNA is filed under the name uncultured bacterium. RNAcentral's name for it is "partial 16S ribosomal RNA". It matches the Rfam family "Bacterial small subunit ribosomal RNA", at positions 509 to 807 of the family's 1533-position model. The record is from RNAcentral.